UGAGUGUGUGUGUGUGUGAGUGUGUGUGUUUGUGUGUGUGUGAGUGUGUGUGUGUGUGUGUGAGUGUGUGUGUGUGUGUGUGAGUGUGUGUGUGUGUGUGUGUGUGUGUGAGUGUGUGUGUGUGUGUGUGUGUAUAAACUACACUAACUUGGCCUCUAAAUGCGGCGGCGGCUCUUUGGCUGCCACGGUAACAUCAAGCGCUUCAUGAAUAUUAACGAGCGUCUUUUGUGCAUUCAUUAACAUUCAUGAUGUUUUCUUGUGCAGGCGGCGAGAAGGCUUCACCUGCUUCCAGCUCCGACCUGUAGCUCCGCCCACUGCUCAUGAAUAUUAAUGAGGGCGAGACGAGGACAAAAAGUGAACUAACUUUUAUUGGUUUUUAUUCUGCUCAUUGAUUUCUCAGCAGAGAGUCAAAGAUGGAAAAAUCUGCAGAUCUGUACGUGAGGCCGACGCUCUGACCUUUACUUAAGAGCUGUCAAUCAAAGUGAGAGACGGACGCACGGCGAGGGAGGUGAAGGGAGACGGACGCACGGCGAGGGAGGUGAUGGGAGACGGACGCACGGCGAGGGAGGUGAAGGGAUUUAUUGUCCUCGUACUGAAAUGGUUUUUAAUUUACACACACAGACCGCCACAGGAAGUUAAUCUGCCUCAGAUAAGACUCCUGAAAUCUUCCAGACCUCCAUAUUUCCAUAAUCUUCUUCGUAUUCCGACAUGAACAACCUCGACUCAUCCGUCUCCAUCACGCCGCUGGCCUCCGAGACAUUACCAUAAUCCAUAGAGCGCGCAGCGACUUCCUGUUUACACCACUCCACGCUGAGAGGGAGAGAUAGCAGUCACCAUGGCAACAACAUCCAUCGACCUGCUCGUCUGUUCAUUUGUCCAUCAGUGUUUUCCAAUUUUUUAACCUGCAGACAGACGCCGUCACGGCGCCAUCACGCCGCAGUCACGCCGCCAUCACGCCGCCAUCACGCCGCACUAAGUACAGCUCCAAUGAGAUCCGUAGUCAAGGAAACAGGCGUUUUGUUUCUGUGGAGGUCAUUUUUUCUGUUUUUU
Long non-coding RNA from Labrus mixtus (cuckoo wrasse), 1050 nucleotides. RefSeq lists it as uncharacterized. Lineage: Eukaryota; Metazoa; Chordata; Actinopteri; Labriformes; Labridae. The record is from RefSeq and is a predicted model, not a curated record. The transcript has 3 exons.